This 432-nucleotide ribosomal RNA is filed under the name uncultured bacterium. Its description in RNAcentral is "partial 16S ribosomal RNA". It matches the Rfam family "Bacterial small subunit ribosomal RNA", at positions 29 to 507 of the family's 1533-position model. The record is from RNAcentral.
AACGAACGCUGGCGGCAGGCCUAACACAUGCAAGUCGAGCGAGCAUUUCGGUGCUAGCGGCGGACGGGUGAGUAACGCGUGGGAACGUGCCCUUUUCUGCGGAAUAGUCCUGGGAAACUGGGGGUAAUACCGCAUACGCCCUUUUGGGGAAAGAUUUAUCGGAGAAGGAUCGGCCCGCGUUGGAUUAGGUAGUUGGUGGGGUAAUGGCCCACCAAGCCGACGAUCCAUAGCUGGUUUGAGAGGAUGAUCAGCCACACUGGGACUGAGACACGGCCCAGACCCCAACGGGGGGCCGCGGUGGGGAAUCUAAGACAGGGGGGGUAACCCUGAAUUAGCCCGGCCGGGGGGGUGAUGAGGGCCUUGGGGUUUUAAAGCUCUUUCAGCGGGGAGGAUAAGACGGGAACCAGCAAAAAAGGCCCCGCCAACUCCCUG